RNAcentral lists this ribosomal RNA (429 nucleotides) under Fusobacteriota bacterium. RNAcentral describes it as "Fusobacteria bacterium partial 16S ribosomal RNA". It matches the Rfam family "Bacterial small subunit ribosomal RNA", at positions 355 to 776 of the family's 1533-position model. Lineage: Bacteria; Fusobacteriati; Fusobacteriota. The record is from RNAcentral.
UGGGGAAUCUUCCGCAAUGGACGAAAGUCUGACGGAGCAACGCCGCGUGAGUGAAUACGGCCUUCGGGUUGUAAAGCUCUGUGAUCCGGGACGAAAGAGCCUGAGGUGAAUAGCCUAAGGAAGUGACGGUACCGGAAAAGCAAGCCACGGCUAACUACGUGCCAGCAGCCGCGGUAAUACGUAGGUGGCAAGCGUUGUCCGGAAUUAUUGGGCGUAAAGCGCGCGCAGGCGGCUUCCUAAGUCCAUCUUAAAAGUGCGGGGCUUAACCCCGUGAUGGGAUGGAAACUGGGAAGCUGGAGUAUCGGAGAGGAAAGUGGAAUUCCUAGUGUAGCGGUGAAAUGCGUAGAGAUUAGGAAGAACACCGGUGGCGAAGGCGACUUUCUGGACGAAAACUGACGCUGAGGCGCGAAAGCGUGGGGAGCAAACAGG